RNAcentral lists this ribosomal RNA (440 nucleotides) under uncultured bacterium. Its description in RNAcentral is "partial 16S ribosomal RNA". It matches the Rfam family "Bacterial small subunit ribosomal RNA", at positions 338 to 795 of the family's 1533-position model. The record is from RNAcentral.
CCUACGGGUGGCAGCAGUGAGGGAUAUUGGUCAAUGGGGGAAACCCUGAACCAGCAACGCCGCGUGAGGGAAGACGGUUUUCGGAUUGUAAACCUCUGUCCUCUGUGCAGAUAAUGACGGUAGCAGAGGAGGAAGCUCCGGCUAACUACGUGCCAGCAGCCGCGGUAAUACGUAGGGGGCAAUCGUUGUCCGGAUUUACUGGGUGUAAAGGGUGAGUAGGCGGCUUUGCAAGUCAGAAGUGAAAUACAUGGGCUUAACCCAUGAACUGCUUUUGAAACUGCAGAGCUUGAGGGGAGUAGAGGUAGGCGGAAUUACCGGUGUAGCGGUGAAAUGCGUAGAGAUCGGGAGGAACACCAGUGGCGAAGGCGGCCUACUGGGCUCUAACUGACGCUGAGGCACGAAAGCGUGGGUAGCAAACAGGAUUAGAUACCCUGGUAGUC